AUUGAACGCUGGCGGCAGGCCUAACACAUGCAAGUCGAGCGGAUGAGAGGAGCUUGCUCCUCGAUUCAGCGGCGGACGGGUGAGUAAUGCCUAGGAAUCUGCCCAGUAGUGGGGGACAACGUUUCGAAAGGAACGCUAAUACCGCAUCGGUCCUCCGGGAGAAAUUGGGGGAUCUUCGACCCUUCCGCAAUGGGAUGAGCUUAGGUCGGAUAAGCUAGUUGGUAGGGUAAAGGCCUACCAAGGCGACGAUCCGUAACUGGUCUGAGAGGAUGAUCAGUCACACUGGAACUGAGACACGGUCCAGACUCCUACGGGAGGCAGCAGUGGGGAAUAUUGGACAAUGGGCGCAAGCCUGAUCCAGCCAUGCCGCGUGUGUGAAGAAGGCCCUCGGGUCGUAAAGCACUUUAAGUUGGGAGGAAGGGCUUACAGCGAAUACCUGUGAGUUUUGACGUUACCGACAGAAUAAGCACCGGCUAACUUCGUGCCAGCCGCCGCAGUAA
Molecule: ribosomal RNA, 500 nt
Filed under: uncultured bacterium
Lineage: Bacteria
Description: partial 16S ribosomal RNA
Rfam family: Bacterial small subunit ribosomal RNA
Source: RNAcentral